This 73-nucleotide transfer RNA is filed under the name Sphaerodactylus townsendi. RNAcentral describes it as "tRNA-Thr". It matches the Rfam family "tRNA". From Rfam's summary of the family: Transfer RNA (tRNA) molecules are approximately 80 nucleotides in length. The record is from RNAcentral. Lineage: Eukaryota; Metazoa; Chordata; Lepidosauria; Squamata; Sphaerodactylidae.
GGGGCUGUGGCUCAGUUAGGAGAGUGCCUGCUUUGUAUACUGAAGGCCUCAGGUUCAAUUCCUGAUACCCCCA